UUUAAUUCGACGCAACGCGAAGAACCUUACCCAGGCUUGACAUGCAGGUGCAUACGGCGGAAACGUCGUAGCCUUCGAGGGUCCUGCACAGGUGCUGCAUGGUUGUCGUCAGCUCGUGUCGUGAGAUGUUGGGUUAAGUCCCGCAACGAGCGCAACCCCUGCCGGUAGUUACCAGUGUCUACCGGGACAGCCGCCUUGAUGGGCGGAGGAAGGCGGGGAUGACGUCAAAUCAGCAUGGCCCUUACGCCUGGGGCGACACACACGCUACAAUGGCCGGGACAGUGCGUCGCGAACCCGCAAGGGGAAGCAAAUCGUCCAAACCCGGUCCCAGUGCAGAUCGGGGGCUGCAACUCGCCCCCGUGAAGUCGGAGUU
RNAcentral lists this ribosomal RNA (373 nucleotides) under uncultured Chloroflexota bacterium. RNAcentral describes it as "bacterial SSU rRNA". It matches the Rfam family "Bacterial small subunit ribosomal RNA", at positions 945 to 1332 of the family's 1533-position model. The record is from RNAcentral. Lineage: Bacteria; Bacillati; Chloroflexota.